UCCGAUAUGGUCUAACGGCUAGGAUAUUCCGCUUUCAUAGAGUCCGUUCUGAAGGCGCCGGAAAGGCCCGGGUUCGACUCCCGGUAUCGGAA
This 92-nucleotide transfer RNA is filed under the name Bimuria novae-zelandiae CBS 107.79. It matches the Rfam family "tRNA". From Rfam's summary of the family: Transfer RNA (tRNA) molecules are approximately 80 nucleotides in length. Their secondary structure includes four short double-helical elements and three loops (D, anti-codon, and T loops). Further hydrogen bonds mediate the characteristic L-shaped molecular structure. tRNAs have two regions of fundamental functional importance: the anti-codon, which is responsible for specific mRNA codon recognition, and the 3' end, to which the tRNAs corresponding amino acid is attached (by aminoacyl-tRNA synthetases). tRNAs cope with the degeneracy of the genetic code in two manners: having more than one tRNA (with a specific anti-codon) for a particular amino acid; and 'wobble' base-pairing, i.e. permitting non-standard base-pairing at the 3rd anti-codon position. Lineage: Eukaryota; Fungi; Ascomycota; Dothideomycetes; Pleosporales; Didymosphaeriaceae. The record is from Rfam by way of RNAcentral.